CAUGCCCCUAGAGAUAUUGCAGUAGUGGCUGUUGUGUGGCAUAUGUGUCUGUAGGUGACAGAGGAGAGAGGCUAUGUCUAUGCUCAGUGUUCUGACCUGUGAACGUCUGAAUGAUUAUUUGCCUAACAUU
This is a non-coding RNA of Arvicanthis niloticus (Nile rat), 130 nucleotides long. NCBI's taxonomy places the organism in Eukaryota, Metazoa, Chordata, Mammalia, Rodentia, Muridae. The record is from RefSeq and is a predicted model, not a curated record.